This 478-nucleotide ribosomal RNA is filed under the name uncultured organism. RNAcentral's name for it is "bacterial SSU rRNA". It matches the Rfam family "Bacterial small subunit ribosomal RNA", at positions 28 to 507 of the family's 1533-position model. The record is from RNAcentral.
GAUGAACGCUGGCGGCGUGCUUAACACAUGCAAGUCGAACGGAGUUGAUAGGUGGAAGUCUUCGGAUGGAAGCUUAUCAACUUAGUGGCGGACGGGUGAGUAACGCGUGGGUAACCUGCCUUAUACAGGGGGAUAACAGUCGGAAACGGCUGCUAAUACCGCAUAAGCGCACAGCUUUGCAUGAAGCAGUGUGAAAAGAUUUAUCGGUAUAAGAUGGACCCGCGUCUGAUUAGCUAGUUGGUAGGGUAAUGGCCUACCAAGGCGACGAUCAGUAGCCGGCUUGAGAGAGUGACCGGCCACAUUGGGACUGAGACACGGCCCAAACUCCUACGGGAGGCAGCAGUGGGGAAUAUUGCACAAUGGGGGAAACCCUGAUGCAGCGACGCCGCGUGAGUGAAGAAGUAUUUCGGUAUGUAAAGCUCUAUCAGCAGGGACGAUAAUGACGGUACCUGACUAAGAAGCCCCGGCUAACUACGUG